AUCAACUUUCGAUGGUAGGAUAGAGGCCUACCAUGGUGGUAACGGGUAACGGGGUGUUAGGGCACGACACCGGAGAGGGAGCCUGAGAAACGGCUACCACAUCCAAGGAAGGCUGCAGGCGCGCAAAUUACCCAAUCCCGACACGGGGAGGUAGUGACAAUAAAUAACAAUACAGGGUUCUUUAGGAUCUUGUAAUUGGAAUGAGUACAAUUUAAAUCUCUUAACGAGGAACAAUUGGAGGGCAAGUCUGGUGCCAGCAGCCGCGGUAAUUCCAGCUCCAAUAGCGUAUAUUAAAGUUGUUGCAGUUAAAAAGCUCGUAGUUGAAUUUCGGGGUUAGUAGGUUGGUCAUGCCUCUGGUAUGUACUGGUCUCACUGAUUCCUCCUUCCUGAUGAACCGUAAUGCCAUUAAUUUGGUGUUGCGGGGAAUUUGGACUGUUACUUUGAAAAAAUUAGAGUGUUUAAAGCAAGCUAACGCUUGAAUACAUUAGCAUGGAAUAAUGAAAUAGGACGUUCGAUCCUAUUUUGUUGGUUUCUAGGAUUGACGUAAUGAUUAACAGGGAUAGUUGGGGGCAUUAGCAUUCAAUUGUCAGAGGUGAAAUUCUUGGAUUUAUUGAAGACUAACUACUGCGAAAGCAUUUGCCAAGGAUGUUUUCAUUAAUCAAGAACGAAAGUUAGGGGAUCGAAGACGAUCAGAUACCGUCGUAGUCUUAACCAUAAACUAUGCCGACUAGGGAUCGGAUGAUGUUAAUUUUUUAAUGACUCAUUCGGCGCUUUACGGGAAACCAAAGUGUUUGGGUUC
Molecule: ribosomal RNA, 799 nt
Filed under: uncultured fungus
Lineage: Eukaryota; Fungi
Description: SSU rRNA
Rfam family: Eukaryotic small subunit ribosomal RNA
Source: RNAcentral